GUCCGGUACCGGCCCUCUCUCUCUCUCUCUCUCUCUCUCUCUCUCUAGCUCUCUCUCUCUCUCAGCUCUCGCCACUGUCCCCCGCCCACCACAGCCCUCGCGUCCGUUCAAGGUACACGUACAAGCUUGCACUACAAAAAUCACUGUAUUGAUGGACCAGGGACGCCAUCCUUAUGCAUAUCGGGCACCUCGCCCACCCGUGCCCCCCAUGACCACGCCCACUGAUUCGACUCCAGUAUAUACUGCGGCGUGGCCACCCCACCCAGACGGGGCUUA
Molecule: long non-coding RNA, 276 nt
Organism: Alnus glutinosa
Lineage: Eukaryota; Viridiplantae; Streptophyta; Magnoliopsida; Fagales; Betulaceae
Exons: 3
Source: RefSeq, a predicted model, not a curated record